CAAAAGGGGUGCUGGGUGUUCCCGGCUGAGAAGGGAUUAAUUGAGAUUCCAAACCCUCGAACCUGAUCCGGGUAAUGCCGGCGUAGGAAACAGAG
RNAcentral lists this non-coding RNA (95 nucleotides) under bovine gut metagenome. RNAcentral's name for it is "TPP riboswitch (THI element)". The stretch from base 5 to 89 matches the Rfam family "TPP riboswitch aptamer (THI element)", at positions 11 to 88 of the family's 105-position model. Rfam says of the family: Vitamin B(1) in its active form thiamin pyrophosphate (TPP) is an essential coenzyme that is synthesised by coupling of pyrimidine and thiazole moieties in bacteria. The previously detected thiamin-regulatory element, thi box was extended, resulting in a new, highly conserved RNA secondary structure, the THI element, which is widely distributed in eubacteria and also occurs in some archaea. The record is from RNAcentral.